AGGCUUAGAAGUGUGGACGCCAGUCUGCAUGGAGCCGACCUUGAAAUACCACCCUUUAAUGUUUGAUGUUCUAACGUUGACCCGUAAUCCGGGUUGCGGACAGUGUCUGGUGGGUAGUUUGACUGGGGCGGUCUCCUCCUAAAGAGUAACGGAGGAGCACGAAGGUUGGCUAAUCCUGGUCGGACAUCAGGAGGUUAGUGCAAUGGCAUAAGCCAGCUUGACUGCGAGCGUGACGGCGCGAGCAGGUGCGAAAGCAGGUCAUAGUGAUCCGGUGGUUCUGAAUGGAAGGGCCAUCGCUCAACGGAUAAAAGGUACUCCGGGGAUAACAGGCUGAUACCGCCCAAGAGUUCAUAUCGACGGCGGUGUUUGGCACCUCGAUGUCGGCUCAUCACAUCCUGGGGCUGAAGUAGGUCCCAAGGGUAUGGCUGUUCGCCAUUUAAAGUGGUACGCGAGCUGGGUUUAGAACGUCGUGAGACAGUUCGGUCCCUAUCUGCCGUGGGCGCUGGAGAACUGAGGGGGGCUGCUCCUAGUACGAGAGGACCGGAGUGGACGCAUCACUGGUGUUCGGGUUGUCAUGCCAAUGGCACUGCCCGGUAGCUAAAUGCGGAAGAGAUAAGUGCUGAAAGCAUCUAAGCACGAAACUUGCCCCGAGAUGAGUUCUCCCUGACCCUUUAAGGGUCCUGAAGGAACGUUGAAGACGACGACGUUGAUAGGCCGGGUGUGUAAGCGCAGCGAUGCGUUGAGCUAACCGGUACUAAUGAACCGUGAGGCUUAACCUUACAACGCCGAAG
RNAcentral lists this ribosomal RNA (791 nucleotides) under Escherichia coli. RNAcentral describes it as "bacterial LSU rRNA". It matches the Rfam family "Bacterial large subunit ribosomal RNA", at positions 2152 to 2925 of the family's 2925-position model. The record is from RNAcentral. Lineage: Bacteria; Pseudomonadati; Pseudomonadota; Gammaproteobacteria; Enterobacterales; Enterobacteriaceae.